GAGAUGGCUCCCUUCCUGGAAUGGGCUCUGAGCCCAGCCCAAAGGCCAAGGGCCGAACUAAAAUGACCUCCCUCUUAAGCCCACAGGCCCCAGCCAGCUCUGCAGGCAGGCGAAGGUGUGGAGGAUCCCUCUCCUGAGCAGAAAUGAAUCCUCGGAGGAGACACAGCUGACCUGGGACCUUUCAGAGGGCUGAAGGACAGAGCCUCCUUUUGCCUCACCAGACCCGACUUGGGUGAGGUCAGAAGAUUCAGACAACAGCAGGGAGGGCCGUGGCCAUGGAAACCUGGGUUUCAGUGCUGGAAGAGAGAGAUGUGAAAGGCCAUCUACAAAGAUGUGGAGAAUGGGGACGAGAAGAAAAGGAGGAGAUGACCUCUGGAUUCUGGACAGCCCAGGCCAAGGUGAGUUGGGUUUCUCUUUCUUCUGACAGUGUAGACAUGUUCUCUAAAUCAUCUCUGCCCAACC
This 462-nucleotide long non-coding RNA is filed under the name Phascolarctos cinereus (koala). RNAcentral describes it as "lncRNA (ENSPCIG00000026460.2)". The record is from RNAcentral. Lineage: Eukaryota; Metazoa; Chordata; Mammalia; Diprotodontia; Phascolarctidae.